AUUGAACGCUGGCGGAAUGCUUUACACAUGCGAGUCGAACGGCAGCACGGACUUCGGUCUGGUGGCGAGUGGCGAACGGGUGAGUAAUGUAUCGGAACGUGCCCAGUCGUGGGGGAUAACGUAGUGAAAAUUACGCUAAUACCGCAUACGAUCUAUGGAUGAAAGCGGGGGAUCGCAAGACCUCGCGCGAUUGGAGCGGCCGAUAUCAGAUUAGGUAGUUGGUGGGGUAAAGGCCCACCAAGCCAACGAUCUGUAGCCGGUCUGAGAGGACGACCAGCCACACGGGAACUGAGACACGGUCCAGACUCCUACGGGAGGCAGCAGUGGGGAAUUUUGGACAAUGGGCGAGAGCCUGAUCCAGCCAUUCCGCGUGCAGGAUGAAGGCCCUCGGGUUGUAAACUGCUUUUGUACAGAACGAAAAGGUUUCUACUAAUACUAGGAGCUCAUGACGGUACUGUAAGAAUAAGCACCGGCUAACUACGUGCCAGCCGCCGCGGUAA
RNAcentral lists this ribosomal RNA (500 nucleotides) under uncultured bacterium. RNAcentral's name for it is "partial 16S ribosomal RNA". It matches the Rfam family "Bacterial small subunit ribosomal RNA", at positions 30 to 523 of the family's 1533-position model. The record is from RNAcentral.